UACGGGGGGAGCAAGCGUUGUUCGGAUUUACUGGGCGUAAAGGGCGCGUAGGCGGCAAUUCAAGUCAUCUGUGAAAUCUCCGGGCUUAACCCGGAACGGUCAGAUGAUACUGCUUUGCUAGAGUGCGGAAGGGGCAAUCGGAAUUCCUGGUGUAGCGGUGAAAUGCGCAGAUAUCAGGAGGAACACCGGUGGCGAAGGCGGAACUCUGGGCCGUAACUGACGCUGAGGAGCGAAAGCAUGGGGAGCGAACAGG
Molecule: ribosomal RNA, 253 nt
Filed under: uncultured bacterium
Lineage: Bacteria
Description: partial 16S ribosomal RNA
Rfam family: Bacterial small subunit ribosomal RNA
Source: RNAcentral